Molecule: non-coding RNA, 82 nt
Organism: Triticum aestivum (bread wheat)
Lineage: Eukaryota; Viridiplantae; Streptophyta; Magnoliopsida; Poales; Poaceae
Source: Rfam
AAGCCUAUGAUGAUUAGCUUUCAAGUUGGAAUUACCGUCAGAUUCCAGAUGACGAUAUAUUUGCGGCUUUCUGAGGUUUAAA